RNAcentral lists this transfer RNA (74 nucleotides) under Trichonephila clavata. RNAcentral's name for it is "tRNA-Arg". It matches the Rfam family "tRNA". Rfam says of the family: Transfer RNA (tRNA) molecules are approximately 80 nucleotides in length. Their secondary structure includes four short double-helical elements and three loops (D, anti-codon, and T loops). Further hydrogen bonds mediate the characteristic L-shaped molecular structure. tRNAs have two regions of fundamental functional importance: the anti-codon, which is responsible for specific mRNA codon recognition, and the 3' end, to which the tRNAs corresponding amino acid is attached (by aminoacyl-tRNA synthetases). tRNAs cope with the degeneracy of the genetic code in two manners: having more than one tRNA (with a specific anti-codon) for a particular amino acid; and 'wobble' base-pairing, i.e. permitting non-standard base-pairing at the 3rd anti-codon position. Lineage: Eukaryota; Metazoa; Arthropoda; Arachnida; Araneae; Nephilidae. The record is from RNAcentral.
GUGCCCUGAAGUGCAAUGAAUAGCGUGUUGGACUUCUAAUCCAAAGGUUGUGGGUUUGAAUCCCACCUGGGAUG